UGGCUCAGUGGUUAGAGCGCCCGCCUCAGGAACGGGAGGUUGUGGGUUCGAACCCCAA
RNAcentral lists this transfer RNA (58 nucleotides) under Strongylocentrotus purpuratus (purple sea urchin). It matches the Rfam family "tRNA", at positions 8 to 63 of the family's 71-position model. Rfam says of the family: Transfer RNA (tRNA) molecules are approximately 80 nucleotides in length. Their secondary structure includes four short double-helical elements and three loops (D, anti-codon, and T loops). Lineage: Eukaryota; Metazoa; Echinodermata; Echinoidea; Camarodonta; Strongylocentrotidae. The record is from Rfam by way of RNAcentral.